UGCUGCACUCAAAGUUCCAAAAUGCCAUUUGUGUUCUUACACUCACAGCAAGACCUACCAAGUCUUUGUAGCUGAAGAAAAUCCUACCCUGCAGCUUCUGCCCUUGGCUGGUAACACAGGCAGGGUAUAAUCUUAUGUUUCAUGCCUUCACAUUUAAACAACAAAAACUAUUGAUUUUUUCUGUAGACCGAAAAGCAUACACUGAAAUUCUGGGUUGUGAAGAUGACAUCUCCCAGAUCAUCAUUAAUUCAAAACAUUUUACAGGUAGCAGAAGUAAUAAAAAAAAGGUAACAUACAUCUUAAAAUAAAAAUUGAGGUGGAACUUGAUUUUCUGUAGAUCAGUUCCACGCCUACUUUUUACUUCGCAAACACAGCAGCUUACACAGGAUUCUUACAUUGAGACCAAAGUCAUAAAAUAUGCCUUGCCACUCCUUCCAAUCUUAAUGACUCCUAGGCACCCAGUAUUUCAAAACAUUAAGAUUUUAAAUGCUUCCUGGUUUAAUAUAGCAAUGAAAAUUAACACCAGACAUACAUGUGGUAAGUGAUUGAGCUAAGGCCAAAAGCCAUCAAGUGUUCACUAGCAUUCCCUUAAUGCUAUCCAAGGCAAAAUCCAGAGUAUUAAAAAAAAAAAACAUGAGUUUUGUAUUCCUGAUCAACAGGCAGAAAAAGCACACAUGCUGCACUAUGUUCACAUUACAAACUGACACAGUCUUUCUUUGUUCUCUUCUACAAUGGGGUGGAGACCACUGUCUCCAUGAUUAAUGUAUUACAAUCAGCAUACCCACGUAACUGAAAGCUUUCUUGUUUUGUUGUUGUUUUUGCUUUAGCAAGAUAUUCAGUAGCUGAGUUCACAUAUAAGGAUAACCUGAACCUGAACAAACUUUAAAGGACUGGAUGAGCUUUUUUCAUCAGUACAGACUGGUGUCAGGGCAGGCUGUGUAAUAACACCAGUUGGGUUUCUACCGUACAACCUUCUCCAGUCUCACUCCUAUCUGCUUUAAACACUGGAUGAUCUGUGUCUCCCUUCAAAGUAGGCACCUCACAAAGGUGUGCAUAUCCUUUUUAGUUUUAUCCAGCACGAGACCUCAGAAGGCACUAACUGCAGAAGAGAAUAGCUGCCAGUUCCUGGAAGGCUGCUGGAGCCAGCUCCAAGUCUGCCCAACCUCCUCAACAAAGGCUAGUUACUGCUGGCUGUCUACAGAGAAGAGCAGAGCUCCCUGGCAGUUUGUUGCAGCACCGUCUAGAGCACAGGCAGAUUUGUCAGUACCUGACAGUACAAACAGAAGCUGCUCAGAAUUAUGCUCAUCUAUCCUUAAAAAUAAUUUAAAAUAAUUGUAUUAAUUACAUAAGUUGGGUUGCAUCUUAAUUGGUUACAAGUGCGUUAUAGGUACACCGUCCAAAACUCUACAUCAUUUUUUCAAAUUUAAGUUGCUCCUUAGGCCUGAUUUUCUGUCCCAAGUUUGGACGGUAUCUCACCCAUUUUGCCACAAGACCUGGCAAAUCAUUAAGCUCCCAACAGAUGACUUGAUGAGGCAGGCAUGAUUUUAUUCACCUUCAUUAUAUCUCCCUUCAGUCAUUCUUCUUCAUGUUAUAGAGACCUAUUUCACUUUCCUUAUUUAAAAAGCAAUUUUUUCCCUUCUCUUCACCUGUUUUCACUUUAUUUCACUCCCUGUCCUUACAGUGAGGAGAUGUAGAAUGACGGAACAGAAGCUCUUCUCAACACAAAGCGCUCUGCAAAGUCUUAAAGUCAUAAAAACAAUGUGUUUUGCUUUCUAUUCUGUUCCUAACUAUUCCUUUGUUAUUUGUCUUUCACACAAUUGGACAAUAAACAGAUAUGUUAAGCCGGUACGUGCACGUUCUAAAUUGUUGGUGCUAAACAAAAAAGUAAAGAAAUUCAAAACACCAAGGCCCUGUUCAGACAGUAAAAUGUUCAAGAUGAAGGCAUACAUCCAUUAAUCUUGCUCAAUUCCCCCCCCCAAAGAAUUGUAAAUUUACAUUUCAUUUGCUUUAUACAGAUGUAAUUUAAACAAAUCUCUUUUUUUCCUCCCAAACUGUAAUGUCAACUCCAGAAAUAUUCACACUCCCCAGAGGAUAUGGAAUUGCUGGAAAUCCUUAUAUAUACUUUCCUGAAUAAUGAGAUGUAGUGAGAUCAGAAUCAUAGUAUGUAGAACGCAGAAGUCAUCCUAACAAGUCCAGUAACAAAGUAGUAUCUAAGUAACUGGCAUGAAGCAAGCUGAAGAAAACCUACACAGAUGUUUUCAGAAAUACUCCCAAGUCAAGAAAGAAGUCAUUUGGAAAUUUGGAAGGCUAAGUAGCAGACAAAUGAAUGCUCAUUUAUUUCAGUACAAGAACUGAGCUAAAGUUUCUGGAGAGUAACAGAAGCAAGUGACAUCUUGGCAGAGGCACAUGCUACAGCAUCUUCAGCAAUCCAAGGCUUUGGCAGUAUCCCAGUGAAGAGCUGGGAUUUACUCGUAUUGUUAUAACCAUCAGUUUCUGACACUACAACCCAGCUGGGAAAACCACCUUACAGUUUAAAAGGCUUCUUUUCCCAACGAUCCGCUAGAACAGGCAACAGGAUGCAACACAUCUAAGGAAUGGGGAUUAAGAAUUUCAACCGAAAAGUGAUAACCUUCAACCCCUAUUCUACAAAUGAUCCACUGGCUUUGCACUAAUCUGACUUCUGAAUGACUGAGCAUAAAAUCUUCCUGAAUUGCCUCCACAGACUUACGAUAAGUUGCUACAUUUCUGUGUUAACAACAGCUAUUUUCUUAAGAUGUGCACAUUUGCCUCUUCAUAACUCAAAAACGUUAACUAAUGCCAGUAUCGUUUUUUUAAAAGGUGGAAAACAGGGGAGAGCUGAGACUGAUUACUAGGGAGACACAUUACAGCAUAGCUGGCCCCACCCAGCCUCUCCUGAUUUGAUGUCUCUGCUUGAUGACUUCUCAACACAGACCUUCAGUACUCUACCAGAUAAAAAAGAGAAGUUAAUUCUUCCAAUUGCACCGGAAUAUGACUGAACUCCUUUACCUCCCUUCAGCCUUCUCUAGUAUGAACAUGUCUGAAAGCCUAACUCUAGGUGGCACAGAUCAUAAGACAGAGAAAACUUCAGCUCCACAUUUAAAAUGAAAAAAUCCAACUCAGAUUUCUCCAUCAAAACAAGUUCGUGUCACUUGGAGAAGAAAGUGUCAUCAAUGGAAUUUCAAACUCCCUUCAUACAGGAGCACUGCAGUAAGAGGCACAUAAAAGUGACACUCCUGUGCUCAAAAUUUCAAGGCAAUAUUUUGGGUUAGGGUUGUUAGCAAUUAAAAACAAAUAUCAAACAAAAUUCCAUUAAAGCUACCAAGAAAGCGGA
Molecule: long non-coding RNA, 3352 nt
Organism: Gallus gallus (chicken)
Lineage: Eukaryota; Metazoa; Chordata; Aves; Galliformes; Phasianidae
Exons: 2
Source: RefSeq, a predicted model, not a curated record